UUUUUCUUUUCUUUCUUUAUUUUUACAUUUUUUUUUCUUUUUUUCUUUUCUUUCAACCACUGCUUUUCCUUUCUCAUCAUCCUUCUUACUCUCACUCAACUUUUCUGUUUCUAUCUCCUCUAUCUUUUCCGCAGCAACAACUUUUUUUGUUUUUAUUUCCUCUUUCUUUUCUUCCUUUUUUUUCUCCUCAUAUAUCUCUAUCUCUUCUUCUUCUAUCUUUUCCUCCUCGACAACCUUAUCAUUUUUAGAGAUAGUGGCUUGAUAUUCUUCUUUAGGGUUAACUUCAGUAUUAUCCCUAAUAAUGCCCAGAGACUUCAAUACCUUUGUUAUCUCAUCUUCCUCUAUCUUCUCUUCAUCAAUAACCUUGUCAACCUCAAAGAUAGUGGCUUGACAUUCUUCUUUAGGGUUAACUUCAGUAUUAACCCUAAUAAUACCCAGAGACUUCAACGCACAAGAGUGUUGUUCCUGCAAUAAACGUUCUUCUGGUUCCUCCAACGUUUCUUUUGGCAAGGAGAAUAGUUUCUGCCGUAAACGUUCUUUAGCUUCCCCCAACGUUUCUUUUCGCGAAGAGGAAUGUUGCCCAAAUUGGNUAUGAUACAUGUUUGAAUGAGGUUCCCACCAGUGGUUGAAACUAUUUUGGUAGAAUUGAGUGCCUACAGAAUCAAAUUCUUGUCCAAACUGCAUUCUGCAAAAAU
RNAcentral lists this long non-coding RNA (695 nucleotides) under Vigna radiata. RNAcentral describes it as "long non-coding RNA (VRAD_LNC002661)". The record is from RNAcentral. Lineage: Eukaryota; Viridiplantae; Streptophyta; Magnoliopsida; Fabales; Fabaceae.